Molecule: ribosomal RNA, 301 nt
Filed under: uncultured bacterium
Lineage: Bacteria
Description: partial 16S ribosomal RNA
Rfam family: Bacterial small subunit ribosomal RNA
Source: RNAcentral
CAGUAGCCGCGGUAAUACGAAGGGGGCUAGCGUUGUUCGGAAUUACUGGGCGUAAAGCGCACGUAGGCGGACAUUUAAGUCAGGGGUGAAAUCCCGGGGCUCAACCCCGGAACUGCCUUUGAUACUGGGUGUCUAGAGUAUGGAAGAGGUGAGUGGAAUUCCGAGUGUAGAGGUGAAAUUCGUAGAUAUUCGGAGGAACACCAGUGGCGAAGGCGGCUCACUGGUCCAUUACUGACGCUGAGGUGCGAAAGCGUGGGGAGCAAACAGGAUUAGAUACCCGCGUAGUCCCUGUCUCUUAUAC